UGGGGAAUAUUGCACAAUGGGCGCAAGCCUGAUGCAGCAACGCCGCGUGAGGGAUGACGGCCUUCGGGUUGUAAACCUCUUUUAGCAGGGAAGAAGCGAAAGUGACGGUACCUGCAGAAAAAGCGCCGGCUAACUACGUGCCAGCAGCCGCGGUAAUACGUAGGGCGCAAGCGUUAUCCGGAAUUAUUGGGCGUAAAGAGCUCGUAGGCGGUUUGUCGCGUCUGCUGUGAAAUCCCGAGGCUCAACCUCGGGUCUGCAGUGGGUACGGGCAGACUAGAGUGCGGUAGGGGAGAUUGGAAUUCCUGGUGUAGCGGUGGAAUGCGCAGAUAUCAGGAGGAACACCGAUGGCGAAGGCAGAUCUCUGGGCCGUAACUGACGCUGAGGAGCGAAAGGGUGGGGAGCAAACAGGCUUAGAUACCCUGGUAGUCCACCCGUAAACGUUGGGAACUAGUUGUGGGUCCAUUCCACGGAUUCCGUGACGCAGCUAACGCAUUAAGUUCCCCGCCUGGGGAGUACGGCCGCAAGGCUAAAACUUGAAAGGAAUUGACGGGGUCAUAGCUGUUUCCU
Molecule: ribosomal RNA, 567 nt
Filed under: uncultured bacterium
Lineage: Bacteria
Description: partial 16S ribosomal RNA
Rfam family: Bacterial small subunit ribosomal RNA
Source: RNAcentral